CUGGUUGAUCCUGCCAGAGGUUACUGCUAUCGAGGUUCGACUAAGCCAUGCGAGUCGAAUGUAGCAAUACAUGGCGUACUGCUCAGUAACACGUGGACAACCUGCCCUUAGGUCGGGUGUAAACCCGGGAAACUGGGUAUAAUCCCCAACAGAUCUGGUCUGCUGGAAUGCUUCGAGAUUUAAAACUCCGGUGCCUAAGGAUGGGUCUGCGGCCUAUCAGGUUGUAGUGGGUGUAGUGUACCUACUAGCCUACGACGGGUACGGGUUGUGAGAGCAAGAGCCCGGAGAUGGAUUCUGAGACACGAAUCCAGGCCCUACGGGGUGCAGCGGGCGCGAAAACUUUACAAUGCUGGCAACAGCGAUAAGGGAACCUCGAGUGCCAGGUUACAAAUCUGGCUGUCGUGAUGCCUAAAAAGCAUUGCAUAGCAAGGGCCGGGCAAGACCGGUGCCAGCCGCCGCGGUAACACCGGCGGCUCGAGUGGUAACCGUUAUUAUUGGGUCUAAAGGGUCUGUAGCCGGCCGGGUAAGUCUCUUGGGAAAUCCAGCAGCUCAACUGUUGGGCUUUCAGGAGAUACUGCCUGGCUCGAGGCCGGGAGAGGUGAGAGGUACUUCAGGGGUAGGGGUGAAAUCUUGUAAUCCUUGAAGGACCACCAGUGGCGAAGGCGUCUCACCAGAACGGACCUGACGGCAAGGGACGAAAGCUAGGGGCACGAACCGGAUUAGAUACCCGGGUAGUCCUAGCCGUAAACGAUACUCGCUAGGUGUCGGCCACGGUGCGACCGCGGUCGGUGCCGUAGGGAAGCCGUGAAGCGAGCCACCUGGGAAGUACGGCCGCAAGGCUGAAACUUAAAGGAAUUGGCGGGGGAGCACCAC
RNAcentral lists this ribosomal RNA (873 nucleotides) under uncultured archaeon. RNAcentral describes it as "bacterial SSU rRNA". It matches the Rfam family "Archaeal small subunit ribosomal RNA", at positions 4 to 882 of the family's 1478-position model. The record is from RNAcentral.